Girardinichthys multiradiatus is the source of this 733-nucleotide non-coding RNA. The record is from the annotation of a RefSeq genome assembly. NCBI's taxonomy places the organism in Eukaryota, Metazoa, Chordata, Actinopteri, Cyprinodontiformes, Goodeidae.
GUCGUCAGUUUAAAACUGUCAUGAAUGUAAAUGUCUAAUCACUGCUGGAGCUAUAGUCAAUAAAUAGCUUCCCUAUUCAGAAGAGGAGGAGGCACAGCGGCAACCCCCUUCUUCGUUUACUUCAACAGUUAUAACAAGACCAGAAACAAAUUUGCCCCAACAAGAACCAACAAUGUUCCUUCUCUGCUGCAUAAGCUUGCAGACCAUACUGGUUUCGGGUUCCUCUCUGAGUGACCAAAUUUUCCAGACUCCUGUCGAGAUGUUUGAAAGUCUUGGGAAAACAUUUACCAUCAGCUGUUCUCACAGUAUUCAAAGCUAUGAUCAAAUCCUUUGGUACAAACAAUCAGAAGGCCAUGAGAUGCAGUUCCUGGGAUACAUGUAUGGAACCAGUGCAUUCCCAGAGAAGGGACUGAAUGUGACAAUGGACGGGAACGCAAACAAAGGCCAGACCAGCACCUUAACAAUUAAAGGACUCAAUGUAAAAACAAGAGCAGUUUACUUCUGUGCUGCUCGCUACCACAGUGCAGCAUAUCAUUGCGCUUCAGUACAUAAACCUCCUCACAUCCCUGUGCAGCUGUAUUACCUUCUUUGAUGUGGUAAGGCCAUAUCUUGCAUGGCUAAUAUAAUAAUACAGAGCGUAUUAUCAUAUUUGCAAGAUAUGGCCUUACAUGGUCUGCUGUGACCACACCCACCUACAGAGCGCAUUUUGCUGUAGCCUCAAAGGAGAGGCUGU